CAUUAAGAUAAUCGAUCCAAUGAAACGAGACCCGAGAGGUUUAAAGAGAAGCAAAAACGCCGCGCGUUGGCUGCGUCCUGCAGCCGCUCUGAGGGAAGUCUCACGCUAGUUGGGUCGCCGCCUGUCCGGAGUCCGGACUCUGAAAGAAAAUAUAGAAUUGCAGCUCCCGUAGUUGGGUUUCCGAUGAUUAUUGCGUCGGUUAGGGUAAUUGGACUGGCGGUCUCAGCUUUGGUUCUAACAUGGGCUUUCCACUGCAGAGGUGGUCUCUCUCUCUUCUCUCACAACAAGGAUCUCAUUUUCAAUGUCCAUCCUGUACUGUUGGUGAUCGGUCUCAUCCUCUUGAAUGGUGAAGCCAUGCUAGCAUAUAGGACACUCUCUGGGACUAAAAGCUUCAGAAAGUUGGUACAUCUAACAAUACAAUCUCUAGCCUUUGGUUUGAGUGCUAUAGGGGUGUGGGCUGCUUAUAAGUUCCACAAUGAGAAGGGCAUUGACAAUUUCUACAGUUUGCAUUCUUGGCUGGGUCUCGCUUGUUUAUUCCUUUUUGCCAUCCAGUGGGCUGCUGGCUUUUCAAUGUUUUGGUAUCCCGGUGGCUCGAUUAGCAGCAGAGCUUCUCUGCUUCCCUGGCAUGUGUUCUUUGGGAUUUAUACAUAUGCACUUGCAGUUGGCACUGCUUGUACAGGAAUUCUGGAGAAAGCCACAUUCUUACAAACCAACCAUGUAAUAUCGCGCUAUUCCACUGAGGCAGUGUUGUUGAACUUACUGGGUAUGUUAAUCGUUGUUCUUGGAGGCUGUGUAAUUCUUGCAGUUGUUACAUCCAUGAACGGCAAAGGGAAAGCCUAUAUACCACUAGAAUACACAAUGCAACAUCCAUCGGUGUAAUCAAUUGAUUGGGGGUGUUAUUUUUGCGUAGUGUAUCUUCUUUGGUUCAAGGCAGUAUCAUCUGUUGAAGUUGUGAGAAAAUGACCUUGCAAUCGCAGUUAUCAGUUGGAGCCGGAAUUUUCAUUGGUUGGUUGCUUGGAUGCAAAAAAUAAUGCCCAUAAUGAGCUGAAAAAUUACAUCAAACAGGUUAUAUUGUAAGAAAAUUAGAGGAUACAUUUCACUUGCUUUAUUUAUUUAUUUUUAUUUUUAAUUUUAAGAAUUCCGUUCUAGAAAAAUGGCUUAUGAUUUGAAGGAGCUUGGUUGGACACG
RNAcentral lists this unclassified non-coding RNA (1188 nucleotides) under Hevea brasiliensis (rubber tree). The record is from RNAcentral. Lineage: Eukaryota; Viridiplantae; Streptophyta; Magnoliopsida; Malpighiales; Euphorbiaceae.